This 279-nucleotide ribosomal RNA is filed under the name uncultured bacterium. RNAcentral describes it as "partial 16S ribosomal RNA". It matches the Rfam family "Bacterial small subunit ribosomal RNA", at positions 506 to 784 of the family's 1533-position model. The record is from RNAcentral.
UGCCAGCAGCCGCGGUAAUACGUAUGGUGCAAGCGUUAUCCGGAAUCACUGGGUUUAAAGGGUGCGCAGGCGGAACUUUAAGUCAGUGGUGAAAUCUUGCCGCUUAACGGUAAAAUUGCCAUUGAAACUGAAGUUCUUGAAUGUAGUUGAGGUAGGCGGAAUGUGUUGUGUAGCGGUGAAAUGCAUAGAUAUGACACAGAACGCCAAUUGCGAAGGCAGCUUACCAAGCUACGAUUGACGCUGAGGCACGAAAGCGUGGGGAGCGAACAGGAUUAGAUA